RNAcentral lists this long non-coding RNA (542 nucleotides) under Struthio camelus australis. RNAcentral's name for it is "lncRNA (ENSSCUG00000016928.1)". Lineage: Eukaryota; Metazoa; Chordata; Aves; Struthioniformes; Struthionidae. The record is from RNAcentral.
UUUCCUCAGAUCCUUUGUGCGCUGUUACCAGACAAUUCCCGGUGCGUUUGUGGCCCUGCUCUCUUCUGCUGCCUUCCUGUGGUAGGUUGUAAUCGCUAGAUCUUCACAUCUUUUGCCCUGCAGGUUCUAGCUCGCUGGAGGCUGCGGGUGUGGGCUCUGUGGUGUGCGCAGGCAAGGCUGAAAGAGGUUCUGCAGCGCUCCUGGAUCUAAUUUAUGAUACCAACCCAGAGAGGACGGGGCCAGACUCUUCUCUGUGGUGCCCAGCGACAGGACAAGAGGCAACAGGCAUAAACCGAACCACAGGCAGUUCCGUCUGAACAUGAGGUAAAACCCCUUUCCUGGGAGGGUGACGGAGCACCGGAGCAGGCUGCCCAGAGAGGUUGUGGGGUCUCCUUCCCUGCAGAUAUUCAAAACCUGCCUGGACACGAGCCUGGGCAAUGUGCUCUAGGUGACCCUGCUUGAGCAGGGGGGUUGGACUAGAUGAUCUCCAGAGCUCCCUGCCAACCGCAACCCUUCUGUGAUUCUGUAAUUGUAAGUACUCC